Molecule: long non-coding RNA, 691 nt
Organism: Gadus macrocephalus (Pacific cod)
Lineage: Eukaryota; Metazoa; Chordata; Actinopteri; Gadiformes; Gadidae
Exons: 2
Source: RefSeq, a predicted model, not a curated record
UCCACUGGCGCUGAAGUCGCCAAAACCAACACGGGAGUCCAGUGCUACAGAGUCGGCCUAAAGUCAGUCUAUAUAUCUUCCCACACCUGGAAGGUGGUGGCGGGCGGGGGGGCGCGAUGACUGCACGGCUCAGGAAGCCGUAUAAAAGUCAUUGUGUGUAUUCUGGCCUGGUCCAAUUAACACGGCCUUCCUUCAUUAGCCGCGCUGUUGAGACGGAGACCUCUGGAUCCUGAAGCCAGCAGGACGCUCCAGGGGGCGGUACUAAACAGAGGUUCUUUAUGGCGCCGUGGCAGGCCUCCCGUGUGAGAGGAUGUCUCCCAGGCUGCCCUGGCUGGGAGCGCAUACGUCUCACAUGAUGUCAGCCGUGCCGGUGUAGGACUCUGGCCCGGGGUUCACUACAGUCCUGCCUCUCAUUAUCCUCGUAUUUACGGGGGGAGCGCAUGCGACCUGGCAGAUGGGGCUGGGUCUGAUUACACGGACGAUAAGGCCCUUUCUGUGCCGUGUUCUGUUCAGUGUCUUACAACAUGCGUGGUUUGAUUGGCCGCACUAGUGUCCAGGGUAGGAGUUCACGGAGGAACACCCUUCAUGAUGACAAACUGUCGUAAUAUAAAUGAACAGCGCUCGCGUGCGUCCCAUUUGGUUGAAUUUAUCGAUAUGUUUUUUUUUGAAUGCGGAUACAAAUGAAUAGUGC